GUUAAAGGAAGAAUGCUGUACAUUAGCCAAGAAACUGGAACAAAUCUCUCAAAAAACCAGAUCUGAAAUAGCUCAACUCAGUCAAGAAAAAAGGUAUACAUAUGAUAAAUUGGGAAAGUUACAGAGAAGAAAUGAAGAAUUGGAGGAACAGUGUGUCCAGCAUGGGAGAGUACAUGAGACAAUGAAGCAAAGUGGCACACAACUGGGCAGGCUCCAUCUCGUCUGCUGCUGGAGCCCACUAGAAACCAAAUGAGCCCUCCAGCAGGCCUAAUCACUCUGAUCUGUCAUGGACCUUCUAGCUGGAAGAGUUAUGCCAUCAUAUUAUCCCAACACUCAUCACUGUGUGGAGGACCCCCUUUUACUAAAUGAUUUAUUGCUCUUUGCAGAAUUCCUUUGGCUGCAGAUUUUAUUUCUGAGUCACUCUGUUCAGCUCAAUUGGUCGCCUUCAGUUACCGUGGCAACCAGCAGAUGGGGUUCUUUGACAAGGGUCAGCGGGGAGGCUGCCUUGGUUUAGACAGAAGAGGAGCUAAAUAAAAAGCUUUCAGCAUUGACAGUUCUGUAGUGGAUGGCCAGGAGUUGUUAUCAAAUUACUUGCAUUGAAGCCUAAUUAAGAUGUGUGCCAAUAA
RNAcentral lists this small RNA (626 nucleotides) under Pongo abelii (Sumatran orangutan). Its description in RNAcentral is "processed transcript". The record is from RNAcentral. Lineage: Eukaryota; Metazoa; Chordata; Mammalia; Primates; Hominidae.